Molecule: ribosomal RNA, 2992 nt
Filed under: Salmonella enterica subsp. enterica serovar Paratyphi B
Lineage: Bacteria; Pseudomonadati; Pseudomonadota; Gammaproteobacteria; Enterobacterales; Enterobacteriaceae
Description: 23S ribosomal RNA
Rfam family: Bacterial large subunit ribosomal RNA
Source: RNAcentral
GGUUAAGCGACUAAGCGUACACGGUGGAUGCCCUGGCAGUCAGAGGCGAUGAAGGGCGUGCUAAUCUGCGAUAAGCGCCGGUAAGGUGAUAUGAACCGUUAUAACCGGCGAUACCCGAAUGGGGAAACCCAGUGUGACUCGUCACACUAUCAUUAACUGAAUCCAUAGGUUAAUGAGGCGAACCGGGGGAACUGAAACAUCUAAGUACCCCGAGGAAAAGAAAUCAACCGAGAUUCCCCCAGUAGCGGCGAGCGAACGGGGAGGAGCCCAGAGCCUGAAUCAGCAUGUGUGUUAGUGGAAGCGUCUGGAAAGGCGCGCGAUACAGGGUGACAGCCCCGUACACAAAAGCGCAUGUGCUGUGAGCUCGAUGAGUAGGGCGGGACACGUGGUAUCCUGUCUGAAUAUGGGGGGACCAUCCUCCAAGGCUAAAUACUCCUGACUGACCGAUAGUGAACCAGUACCGUGAGGGAAAGGCGAAAAGAACCCCGGCGAGGGGAGUGAAAAAGAACCUGAAACCGUGUACGUACAAGCAGUGGGAGCACAGGUUUACCUGUGUGACUGCGUACCUUUUGUAUAAUGGGUCAGCGACUUAUAUUCUGUAGCAAGGUUAACCGUAUAGGGGAGCCGGAGGGAAACCGAGUCUUAACCGGGCGUUAAGUUGCAGGGUAUAGACCCGAAACCCGGUGAUCUAGCCAUGGGCAGGUUGAAGGUUGGGUAACACUAACUGGAGGACCGAACCGACUAAUGUUGAAAAAUUAGCGGAUGACCUGUGGCUGGGGGUGAAAGGCCAAUCAAACCGGGAGAUAGCUGGUUCUCCCCGAAAGCUAUUUAGGUAGCGCCUCGUGAACUCAUCUCCGGGGGUAGAGCACUGUUUCGGCUAGGGGGCCAUCCCGGCUUACCAACCCGAUGCAAACUGCGAAUACCGGAGAAUGUUAUCACGGGAGACACACGGCGGGUGCUAACGUCCGUCGUGAAGAGGGAAACAACCCAGACCGCCAGCUAAGGUCCCAAAGUCAUGGUUAAGUGGGAAACGAUGUGGGAAGGCCCAGACAGCCAGGAUGUUGGCUUAGAAGCAGCCAUCAUUUAAAGAAAGCGUAAUAGCUCACUGGUCGAGUCGGCCUGCGCGGAAGAUGUAACGGGGCUAAACCAUGCACCGAAGCUGCGGCAGCGAACGUAUCACCCAAGACAACUUUGCGGAGUUGACGAUUGACGGAGCGAAGCGACGUCAAAGCGUUCAUUAAAGUCGAGUUGGCUUAGGGAUACGUUCGUUGGGUAGGGGAGCGUUCUGUAAGCCAGUGAAGGUGUGUCGUGAGGCAUGCUGGAGGUAUCAGAAGUGCGAAUGCUGACAUAAGUAACGAUAAAGCGGGUGAAAAGCCCGCUCGCCGGAAGACCAAGGGUUCCUGUCCAACGUUAAUCGGGGCAGGGUGAGUCGACCCCUAAGGCGAGGCCGAAAGGCGUAGUCGAUGGGAAACAGGUUAAUAUUCCUGUACUUGGUGUUACUGCGAAGGGGGGACGGAGAAGGCUAUGUUGGCCGGGCGACGGUUGUCCCGGUUUAAGCGUGUAGGUGUGUGUUCCAGGUAAAUCCGGUUCACUUUAACACUGAGGCGUGAUGACGAGGCACUACGGUGCUGAAGCAACAAAUGCCCUGCUUCCAGGAAAAGCCUCUAAGCAUCAGGUAACAUCAAAUCGUACCCCAAACCGACACAGGUGGUCAGGUAGAGAAUACCAAGGCGCUUGAGAGAACUCGGGUGAAGGAACUAGGCAAAAUGGUGCCGUAACUUCGGGAGAAGGCACGCUGACACGUAGGUGAAGUGAUUUACUCAUGGAGCUGAAGUCAGUCGAAGAUACCAGCUGGCUGCAACUGUUUAUUAAAAACACAGCACUGUGCAAACACGAAAGUGGACGUAUACGGUGUGACGCCUGCCCGGUGCCGGAAGGUUAAUUGAUGGGGUCAGCGCAAGCGAAGCUCCUGAUCGAAGCCCCGGUAAACGGCGGCCGUAACUAUAACGGUCCUAAGGUAGCGAAAUUCCUUGUCGGGUAAGUUCCGACCUGCACGAAUGGCGUAAUGAUGGCCAGGCUGUCUCCACCCGAGACUCAGUGAAAUUGAACUCGCUGUGAAGAUGCAGUGUACCCGCGGCAAGACGGAAAGACCCCGUGAACCUUUACUAUAGCUUGACACUGAACAUUGAGCCUUGAUGUGUAGGAUAGGUGGGAGGCUUUGAAGCGUGGACGCCAGUCUGCGUGGAGCCGACCUUGAAAUACCACCCUUUAAUGUUUGAUGUUCUAACGUGGACCCGUAAUCCGGGUUGCGGACAGUGUCUGGUGGGUAGUUUGACUGGGGCGGUCUCCUCCUAAAGAGUAACGGAGGAGCACGAAGGUUGGCUAAUCCUGGUCGGACAUCAGGAGGUUAGUGCAAUGGCAUAAGCCAGCUUGACUGCGAGCGUGACGGCGCGAGCAGGUGCGAAAGCAGGUCAUAGUGAUCCGGUGGUUCUGAAUGGAAGGGCCAUCGCUCAACGGAUAAAAGGUACUCCGGGGAUAACAGGCUGAUACCGCCCAAGAGUUCAUAUCGACGGCGGUGUUUGGCACCUCGAUGUCGGCUCAUCACAUCCUGGGGCUGAAGUAGGUCCCAAGGGUAUGGCUGUUCGCCAUUUAAAGUGGUACGCGAGCUGGGUUUAGAACGUCGUGAGACAGUUCGGUCCCUAUCUGCCGUGGGCGCUGGAGAACUGAGGGGGGCUGCUCCUAGUACGAGAGGACCGGAGUGGACGCAUCACUGGUGUUCGGGUUGUCAUGCCAAUGGCACUGCCCGGUAGCUAAAUGCGGAAGAGAUAAGUGCUGAAAGCAUCUAAGCACGAAACUUGCCCCGAGAUGAGUUCUCCCUGAGACUUUAGGUCUCCUGAAGGAACGUUGAAGACGACGACGUUGAUAGGCCGGGUGUGUAAGCGCAGCGAUGCGUUGAGCUAACCGGUACUAAUGAACCGUGAGGCUUAACCUU